RNAcentral lists this long non-coding RNA (4682 nucleotides) under Nothobranchius furzeri (turquoise killifish). RNAcentral's name for it is "lncRNA (ENSNFUG00015011859.1)". Lineage: Eukaryota; Metazoa; Chordata; Actinopteri; Cyprinodontiformes; Nothobranchiidae. The record is from RNAcentral.
AUGGGAGCACAUUUGAGACGAAAGCAUGUGGGGGCUGAUGCAGCAGAGGAAGAGCACCGCGGUCAAGUGAGCCGUCAUUUGGAAGAGCCAGCCCGAAAAAAAACAAGCAACGAUGGACAACUACAUGGGGAACAAGACACUCACCCCCCAGCAAUUCAUACCACUUACAAACUCUAUUCUAAACAUGCUGGUAAAAGACAUGAGGCCACUAUCCAUGGUGGAAGGAGCAGGCUUCCAGCUAAUGCUAAAAAAUUAUUCUGGACUGAUAUUUUGCACUGUUUAGCUAAUUUUAUACUGCUGACUGUGUUCAUGAGCAAUAAAAUAGAUUGCAGUCAACUGCACAAUUCUCUUAUGUUUUUUUUUCUUAACUGAAAUGCAUCCAUCACUUGUAUAGGUUAAAUAGCUAAACAAUAACAAACCGAUUAAUCGAUUAAUCGAAAAAAUAAUCGACAGAUUAAUCAAUUAUGAAAAUAAUCGUUAGUUGCAGCCCUACCCCAAUCCAACCCCUUAAAGCUGAGUGUCAAGCAGGGAGGCAUUGGGACCUUUGGUAUGACCCGACUGAGAAUCGAACCUGAUCUCACAGUCCCAGAGAGGACACUACCACAAGGCCACUGAGCUGGUCCCAUAUUGUCCUUCUAUCUGUAUUUGUAUUCGAAAUGGACUAAAGACAGCUCAUGUAAGAGGUGGUAAAAUAUGAGUAAAACAAAAUAAGUUAAAUAAAUGCAAACACAGGAAGUUAUCCAGUGUGAUCUACACCUAUGUUAGCUGAGAUCUUUUCCUGUCUGUAAGAAGUUCCUGACCCAAUUCCAUGAUCUCACUGAGUGUGUUUACAUGCAGCCAGUAACCCUUUUAAAACCCGAAUAUUCACAAUAACCCGGUUCCGCAGGUCCAUGUAAACACCGCUAUAAACCAGGAUAUGCUCAUAACCGGGUUUUUAAAAACCCGGUUACUACACCUGGGGAAACCCUUUUCUAACCCGAAUGUUUGGUCGUGUAAACGCAUAUCGGGAUAUCCCCAUCAAAGCGUGUGUUCUGUGCAUGCUCUGUUCGCAAGGAAUCUCGGUCUUUUGAGUAGCGAGACGUCUUGUAUGCGCCAGAACACCGGAAGUUAACAACAAGUUGGGAGCAACAUGGCGAGUCGCGACACAGCACCACACUUUUGGAGUUACGAGGAAACUAAAACGCAAACAAAUGCGGUCGCUAUCUCUUCCGAACUGGGAAACAUGUUGUUUUCACGGAUACCGGAACAAGAACCGGAAAUGACACAUAUUGCGUCUUGACGUAGUCCACACGUCCUGACGCUACCCCAACAUCCGCAUUUAAAUCGGGUUAUGCAAGUUAGGGGUAACUUUUUCUAUUUAUGCUUGUAAACGGGUUAUUCUGAUCAACUCAGAAACCCGAAUACCGACCUUAACCCGCUCAUAACCCGGAUAUUGGCUGCAUGUAAACGUAGUCACUCACACACACACAAACACACACACACACACACACACACACACACACACACACACACACACGAUGGCCAUAACUUUGCUUCAUGGUGCUGAUCCAGAAUAUUUACCUCAUUAUUUAUUUCUAGUGUUAUAAUAAUAACACAAUAGUCAACAAUAAAAUAACAUAAUAAAGUAAUAAAACAUAUGCAGUUAUGCUCACAUUCACUUUUACCAUCUCUUGGUGGGCAGCAGAACAUUUAUCACAUGUUUAACCAUCUUAUGACCAUACAUAUAACUUAACUGGUAUUUAUUUUUCUGGCUGUGAAAAAGUACCAAAAAGUGCAAAAUAUUUGUAACUCUGCUCCUUUUAUCAGAACAACCUCAGCCUUCGGUGUCUGGUUUGUAUUUAGUAUUUAUGUUUCUCAAACUCUGUAAAAAUGCAGCUUAAAUUUUUUACAUUUAUUACGAAAUAGGAACCUCAAAAGGACGUGGUCAAACUAUUUCAAAUGAACAGUUUAAACUCUGAACUGUAUCACAGUCAGAAACAGUGUGAACCCUGGUGUGUGUGUGUGUGUGUGUGUAGGAUGUGAGUUGAGAGGAGCAGCAUGUUGGUGUACUGACGGUGAUUCGGCUGCAGCCCACUCGACUAGGACAUUAAACUCACUGAGCUGCAUGCUGACUUAGCGACUGCACUCUGGAGUCACAUGUGGAGGCUGUUGUAGACAUUUAAAAUAUUUUUCUCUGGGGAGUUGUCCUUUUUGAAUGAGGAACAUUCAAUGUUUAACAUCCACUAUAACGAACUCAGCUAAAACACUAAGUCCCAAAUUUGACCUGCGUGUAGUGAUGGACCACUUAGCUUGUUUAUUUUCUGUUACUUACCGGGCCGGCUCUUCCUCUGCUGCAUCAGCCCCCACAUGUUUCCGUCUCAGGUGCUCGCUUAGGGACGUCGUGCUUCCGUGCCAUGCUAGGUGGUUUUGGCAUAUUCUGCAGGUCGCCCGUUUUUUGGUGGCAUCUAAAGUGAAGUGCUCCCAUACCCGUGAUGUUUUAGUCCGGGGUUUCUCUUCAGAUUUGUCGCUUUUCUUCUGUCUUACUUCAUGUUCCGCCAUCUUUCACAGCCAUGCACGUCAGUAACGUGUUAACGUCAUGAAAACCGAGGGUACUUAUUGGCUCGUUUCUUCUUCUACGGCUCCACUGGUAGAUCAGUGGCUCAUUACUGCCACACACUGGCGGCAAAUUGAACAGAUUGUAACCGAUGUCAGAUUGUGGUAAAAAUAUAUUUUAUGCGGUAAAAUGUGAUUAUUAAACAACUAAUCGAUGACUAAAAAAGUUGUUAACUAUUUUAAUAAUCGAUUAUAAUCGAUUAAAUCGAUUAGUUGUUUCAGCUCUAGACAUUUUGUUUUUGUCUUUAGCUCUGCAGACCAUUUAUUGCAGCACAGAAAUACUGAAUAGUUUCACAACUUUUAAAUGAAAAAGAUAAUCAGUCCUUUGCCGUUCUCCUUCCUUUCCCCUUUCAAAACAAAACAUGGCACCAUGGGGGAUCGAGCCUUUGCAGCCGAUGCCCCCACACUUUGGAACUAUCUCCCACUAAACAUCAGGAAUGCCGUCUCUCUUUCUACUUAUAAGUCACUGCUUAAAACCCACUUCUUUAAACUGGCCUUCUCUUAAGAUCAACCCAGCAUCCCCAGUCUGUUUACUAUGUUUCAUUUUUAUUAUGUGUUUAUUGCAUUUUUUGUGAAGCGUCUUUGAGUGACCUAAAAAGCGCUAUACAAGUUUGAUGUAUUAUCAUUAUUAUCACUUACAACCGCAGAAAUAGCCAGGCAAAGUGUGUCCCCACUCCCUGUUCAGCCAUUUUCCUGCACCAGAUCUGGCUUUUACAGCUGUUUCACACCUGUGUGAAUAACACAGCUGUCUAAGAGAAAAACCACUUCUCCAACUCAUUUACUUAUUUACAUAUCUGAAAGGUGGCAGCCCUACCUGUGUCCAUGCUGUCCAGGUCCAGGUGGUGAAGAACACACGAUGAAGCAGUCCCAGCUGAUGGAUGAUCCUGAAGUGGUAGCAGGUUUUCUUUAGCCGUGUUUAGCUAACAGCUGCAAUAGAAACAAAGCAGGAGAGCUGAUUAAAAUGCUGCUUCAGAACAACGCAGGAGAUUAAAGAUCCAACGCUUUGGUUCUGAUCAGCUGAGGACAGAUCCAGUCUGGAAAAGAGGACCUUUGAUCACCAGAGUUCACGGAGUAGAGCUAACCGCUUUUUCCUCCAGAGUCACAUUCAGAUUCGGGACUUUUCCGUCGGAGAGUGUGAGCAGGAUGGAUAAGAGAGCGAGCAGCGAUCCUGCAUCAUGACCAACUCAGAUGAGCGAGUCUGAUAGAGGGAACCUCUUCAAUCUGAUGAAAGCAGCAAAACGAGCGCGUUUCUCAGAGAGACCAAAGGAACAGCAGCAGAUCCAGAGGGCAGGAAGUCUAGAGAAAAGCUUUUCUCACCUACAACCUGAUUCUGGAGCUCCGAUUGUCACGAAGACCGCAGAAUACUUCUCUGGUUCUGGAAAGAACUCCACCAAGUGUUUGAGGAGAAGAAAGUUUCCACAGCCUGGUGAGAAGAUUUCUGCAGCAGCAAAUAGUCGCUUUAGCUGAUCAACUGUCCCAGAUACUGAAGUGAAUACAUUUCUACUGCAGAGCCUCAAAUAUUCCCCUCACACAGCAGAACAACAAUAAGCUAGCUCUGCUAACAGCUUUCGGUUUCUGCUUCUUCUGGUGGUCGGUGACUAGCGUAAAGGUGCACUAGCGUUACCUGCUGGAGCAGAUUAAAACGCACCUGUGUGAUCAGAAUGGGACUGAAAACACACAUCUGUUAAAUUUUCAUUAUUUUAGGCGGUCUCUUCAAAAGCCACGAAAAACCAGUAAAAUACUUUUUUCUUUCUGUUUUUUAAUCUAAAUCGGACCAGUUUUAUUUGUAUGAACUUCAAACAAACUAAAAAAUGCUACUUUCUAUAAAGAAUGUGAUAGAAACUUUUUAUGUUGUUACUUUUAUUUUUAGCAGCUCUGAGAAGCAAAUAAAGUGUUGGGAAGGUGCUGAUAUCUCUUCCUUAUUGAUGCUUUUCCUACUCUGGUCCAGCAGGUGGCGGUAGAGCACCUUUACGCUGCUCACCAACAGAGACUGUAGACCGCCAACCGGAAGCUAUUAGCAGCAUUAGCUUAUUGUUUAUUAUCAACGUUAGCUUGUUGCUCGUUAUCAGCGUUAGCUUGUUGUUUGAACC